UUUGUGAUAUCUAGGAGAUAUCAGGCGGGGAGUGUACUGUCCUUCGUACGAAUUUUUAAGGUACGAGUUAUCAAAAUAAAUGCUAGAAGCCAUGUGGCUGAAACAUUGUUUACCUGUGGAAUUUUUGGAAGUUUAAGGGAAAUUACAGUGUAAGUAAUUGAUUGCCUUUGUAAAUUUAUUCUUUUACAUCUACUUUAUUUGAUGUUUAAUGCAUAGUUGCAGCUUUCAACAAUAAUGAUAGAUAUUUGUGGUUUUCUCUAACCUCCUGUUCUCGAAGUAUGAUACGCCAUUGUUGUCAUCACUAUGUCUAGGACAAUAACUUGUCUAUAUGUAGUUGAAUAUUAUAUGAAAUUUGCAUUGUUUUCUUUCUCUUCGAUAAAAUGAUGUAAAGUAAGCUAUAAGAAUAUGAUUUCAUGUUAAUAAUAGAAUUUGAGAUAGAAUAGGUUGCUGUUCAAAAUAAUUUUCUAUGGAACACCAUAACAGUCAUUGUCAAAGUUAGUUAAUUCGUACGCUAUAUAAUAAUUAGCUCGUCUGUAAUAGUUAGCACAUUUUCUUAUUAGUUUUUAUCUUUCUUUGUAGUCUUUUACCACAUGCCAUCUCACAUAUUCGUCCUUGUCAAUAAAGACAUCAGUUUAUUUGGACUUGGAAGUAUUUUAUGUAGAUGCUUGGUUGUCUGACUGUCUGCUAAUCACGAGACAGUACACUUAUCCAUGGAAUUCUCAGGUGGCAGCAUGAAGGAGACCCAGGUGAUGAUACCUGUUGAUGUAUAUGUGAUACCUGUUGAUGUAUAUGCAGCUGAUGAUGUCGACAUAGAAAUUAAUUCUGUUGAUCCAAAUGACAAGGAAAGAGAUGGUCUUCCUGUUGUCUUGGUACUUACAGGCUUUAAUGUAAAAUAAAAGGACCAAUAUGAGAUAAAUAGUGACUAUUUAUCUGGAGUUGUGCACAAUGAGCCAAAAUUAUCCAGAUUAGCAAGAAAUGGCAGUUUAUUAGAAGAAAUGAACUUCCUACUAGUUGGAUUUCCUUCAACUUAGAGGUUAAGGAUUUGAUUACUAUUCCGUCCAAGGAGAUGCCAAUCAGCAGUGAGUCCAUCAUCAUCAUUCCAGAUGGAACGAAUGAGGAAGUUAGGGCAUGUCUCUUGCAAGUCCAAAAACUGAGACAUUUACCAGUCCAGGUCACGGAGUCAUUUCUCGCCUAUGACAGCAGCAUUCAUUGAAAAGGGAACAUGGACUAUCGUACCAAAGUACAGACCGAGAAAAAAUGAAGAAAAAUAAAAAUACCUGCCAUGUGCACACUGUUUGGCCGUUGUUGUAGCUACAGACUUAUGGAAGCACCAAAUUCAUGUCCAGCAAACAAAUCUCAACAAAAUUUAAAAUAUCCUGUAUGUGAAGGAUGUUUGCUGUUACCCUGUGACUCUGAAUUUUUAAAAAAAACUACAUCAAAUUGUUUAAAAAAAUUCUUGCUAUCUCCUUUGUAUUUUUAUACAUAUCUAACAUGUAAUGAUAAUAAAUUAUCAAAAAAAGAUUAAUUUAUCUUCGUAAAUGCACAGUUUAUACAAAGACCUUAUCUUGUCGAUUAAAGUUUUUAAAGUUGCUUUCAUAAUGAAUUUUUCGAUUAAAUGUUAACAUUAAAAAAUAAUCCUUAUAUUCAUUAUUUGAAGUAAUAAAUAUUAAAUCUAUUU
Long non-coding RNA from Ostrea edulis (European flat oyster), 1678 nucleotides. RefSeq lists it as uncharacterized. Lineage: Eukaryota; Metazoa; Mollusca; Bivalvia; Ostreida; Ostreidae. The record is from RefSeq and is a predicted model, not a curated record. The transcript has 6 exons.